Molecule: long non-coding RNA, 1154 nt
Filed under: Setaria italica (foxtail millet)
Lineage: Eukaryota; Viridiplantae; Streptophyta; Magnoliopsida; Poales; Poaceae
Description: long non-coding RNA (SITA_LNC005462)
Source: RNAcentral
GCGCAUCGCUGAUGUUUCGUUUAGAUUUAUUCACUACUUAUCGAUAUUUAUUAGAAUUAUAGGUUUUACCUAUUAUUUUAAUUUUUAUCACCAGUUAUCCAACUUGAGGCACGAACUGUCGGCCAUAUCAAUACUUUAUUUAUUAUCAUACAGCCGAUUAGAUUUGUUCCAAGUGUUGUCUCUGUAGCAUUUUUUAGGUUACUCCAGUAGUUUCUUUUACAAUUGCCACGUGAUCAUCGGCUGUUCCAUAGCCGGUCAUCUUCACAUUAAAUCGGCCAACCCGCUGAUACAUCUUUCGGAAUAGAUCAGAAAUUCAGCCGAUCGAAUCUCUGGAAUUUGAUAUCUUUUCUCCCUUAUCAAUCAACAGGUCAGAUUGACUGACACCUGCGCGAACCGCAUCAGGGCGAUAACCCGAACAGGAGCUAAGCAGAUUCUCCCGGGUCGUGUGUCCGAUGCAGGAGUUAGGGUCACUAUCUGAUUUUUUGCGUCAACAAAAACAAUUAGAAUAAAUAGUUGAGAUAAAAUUUACAAAACAUAUUCAGAAAAGCUAAGCAAAAAAUUCAAGAAAAAUUGAAUAAAAAAUUAUGAACAGAAUUCGAAAAUGUUUUGUACAAAACUCUUGCAACAAAAUCUAGAACAAAAGAGAGAGAAAGUAAACAAAGAGCUAUGCCUCCAUAAGCUUGCCGGCGAGGCCGAUGCUUCGCAUCCCCACGCCGUGCGUCAUGCACAGCCGCUGACCUCCCUGCAAAUCGCUGUCACUCUUUGGGCCUGUCGCCGCAGCCAAGUGUGGUCACUCACCGGGGACGCCAACGCGCUCCUGCCCGCUUCUGCGUAGCGCCGUCGCUACGUGCUCACCCGCACGCCGCCAGUUGCAGCUGCUCGCCCCGAGCUCGUGCGCCGCUAGGGCACCACGCUGCCGCUGCAGGACGCUUCUGAGCCCUCGCAGCUUCUCAAGGUCUGCAGGGAGAGAGAAAAGGCAGAGGGAAUGAGAGAGAGUCACGGGAAAAGAAAUAGGAUAGGUUGGAGUAGAUAGGAGCCUAAUCUUCUGGUGGGGAGGGGAUGGUGGGCCAGCGACCCAGCAUGCAUGCGUGAUGCGUCAUCGACCGGAGGGAGCGGAACGGUCGGUUGUAAAUUCAGCUAUGCUUGUGUGCGCC